Rosa chinensis is the source of this 530-nucleotide long non-coding RNA. RefSeq lists it as uncharacterized. The transcript has 3 exons. The record is from RefSeq and is a predicted model, not a curated record. NCBI's taxonomy places the organism in Eukaryota, Viridiplantae, Streptophyta, Magnoliopsida, Rosales, Rosaceae.
UCUCUCAAGUCUGAUUGUCUCAUCUAAUUUCUGAAAACCCAAACCUCCUUAAAACCUUCAACCCAGUCUCUGCGACGAUCGACGGCAGCGGCACGACGACCUCGUCUCGUUCUCGCAACGUCACUCUGUCAGUCACUCAAUCUCGCUUUUGGUGGUGGAGCAGAAGAAAGAAAAUAAAAAAAUAAGAAGGGGUCGGGAAAGAGAGGAGAAAGAAGAGAAUAGAGGGAUGUUGAGAAAGAUAGAGAAGAAAAGAAGAAGAAAUAGGAAGAGGGAAGAAGAAGAUGUUUAUCUUCCGGAGGGUUGCUUUCUAAGGGAGAGGAGAUCAUAAACGAGAGAGAAGGAGAGAGACGAGUUUGUUUGAAGUUAAAAGGCAAGAACAUGGUGUUGGGUUCAGUUUCUUUUUGUUGAAGCUUGUAGGAGAAACAUCAAGUUCAAUGGUUCAAUUGCAUGUUCAAAGGUGGAAUCACAUCUUGGUGAUGUUUGUGUGCAUAUAUAUGUUAAUUCCUUGAUGGUCAUUGCUUUCUUUUUUC